AUUUUUUUAUUACAAUGUGUAUAUAUAUUUAACUCCAAAAAUGAUUAAUGCAUUAAUUAAUGCUUUUAUUGGUAUGAAAUUUAGAUAAUUUAUAUGAUCUUUUGAAUAUAUAAAAUAAAUAUUAACUAGAAUGAUUUGAUUUGUUAUAUUUUAAAUAUUUUAAAAAUAAAAGUUUUUUGUGCUUUAUAAAAUAUUAAAUGUUUUUUUAUUUAAAACGUUAAUAUUUUGAUUAUAAAAAAAUA
This 242-nucleotide transfer RNA is filed under the name Pneumocystis jirovecii. RNAcentral's name for it is "tRNA-Pseudo(CCA)". Lineage: Eukaryota; Fungi; Ascomycota; Pneumocystomycetes; Pneumocystales; Pneumocystaceae. The record is from RNAcentral.